Molecule: long non-coding RNA, 204 nt
Filed under: Nicotiana benthamiana
Lineage: Eukaryota; Viridiplantae; Streptophyta; Magnoliopsida; Solanales; Solanaceae
Description: long non-coding RNA (NBEN_LNC001039)
Source: RNAcentral
AGCGUUUCAUUUCGACGAAAAGGUUUAACGUUGGAUUAGAUAAAUCAUCUGUUUCGCAUAUUGUUGUUUCUGUUGUUUGGAUUAGAAUUUGGUUUGUGGUCCGUAUAAAGUUGGCUCAAGGAGGGUUAUUUCGAUUGCUUCACUGUUAGUUUGAAAUCUGAUUAAGUAGCCUAUUAGUUCAUGCUUUCAGAUCUGUAAAUUCUG